This 481-nucleotide ribosomal RNA is filed under the name uncultured bacterium. RNAcentral's name for it is "partial 16S ribosomal RNA". It matches the Rfam family "Bacterial small subunit ribosomal RNA", at positions 28 to 507 of the family's 1533-position model. The record is from RNAcentral.
GAUGAACGCUGGCGGCGUGCUUAACACAUGCGAGUCGAACGAAGCACUUUAUUUGAUUUCCUUCGGGACUGAUUAUUUUGUGACUGAGUGGCGGACGGGUGAGUAACGCGUGGGUAACCUGCCUUGUACAGGGGGAUAACAGUUGGAAACGGCUGCUAAUACCGCAUAAGCGCACAGCAUCGCAUGAUGCAGUGUGAAAAACUCCGGUGGUAUAAGAUGGACCCGCGUUGGAUUAGCUAGUUGGUGAGGUAACGGCCCACCAAGGCGACGAUCCAUAGCCGACCUGAGAGGGUGACCGGCCACAUUGGGACUGAGACACGGCCCAAACUCCUACGGGAGGCAGCAGUGGGGAAUAUUGCACAAUGGGCGAAAGCCUGAUGCAGCGACGCCGCGUGAGCGAAGAAGUAUUUCGGGAUGUAAAGCUCUAUCAGCAGGGAAGAUAAUGACGGUACCUGACGAAGAAGCACCGGCUAAAUACGUG